CGCGGGAUGGAGCAGUUGGCAGCUCGUCGGGCUCAUAACCCGAAGGUCACAGGUUCAAGUCCUGUUCCCGCUA
The sequence is a transfer RNA, 73 nucleotides long. It matches the Rfam family "tRNA". From Rfam's summary of the family: Transfer RNA (tRNA) molecules are approximately 80 nucleotides in length. Their secondary structure includes four short double-helical elements and three loops (D, anti-codon, and T loops). Further hydrogen bonds mediate the characteristic L-shaped molecular structure. tRNAs have two regions of fundamental functional importance: the anti-codon, which is responsible for specific mRNA codon recognition, and the 3' end, to which the tRNAs corresponding amino acid is attached (by aminoacyl-tRNA synthetases). tRNAs cope with the degeneracy of the genetic code in two manners: having more than one tRNA (with a specific anti-codon) for a particular amino acid; and 'wobble' base-pairing, i.e. permitting non-standard base-pairing at the 3rd anti-codon position. The record is from Rfam.